UAGGUGGCGAGCGUUGUCCGGAUUUACUGGGUGUAAAGGGCGCGUAGGCGGGAGUGCAAGUCAGAUGUGAAAUCCAUUGGCUUAACCCAUGAACUGCAUUUGAAACUGUAUUUCUUGAGUGUCGGAGAGGUAGACGGAAUUCCUAGUGUAGCGGUGAAAUGCGUAGAUAUUAGGAGGAACACCAGUGGCGAAGGCGGUCUACUGGACGAUAACUGACGCUGAGGCGCGAAAGCGUGGGGAGCAAA
RNAcentral lists this ribosomal RNA (245 nucleotides) under uncultured bacterium. RNAcentral's name for it is "partial 16S ribosomal RNA". It matches the Rfam family "Bacterial small subunit ribosomal RNA", at positions 528 to 772 of the family's 1533-position model. The record is from RNAcentral.